AGCGUUGUCCGGAAUUAUUGGGCGUAAAGGGCUCGUAGGUGGUUUGUCGCGUCGUCUGUGAAAUUCCGGGGCUUAACUUCGGGGUGGCAGGCGAUACGGGCAUAACUAGAGUGCUGUAGGGGAGACUGGAAUUCCUGGUGUAGCGGUGGAAUGCGCAGAUAUCAGGAGGAACACCGAUGGCGAAGGCAGGUCUCUGGGCUGUUACUGACGCUGAGGAGCGAAAGCGUGGGGAGCGAACAGGAUUAGAUACCCUGGUAGUCCAUGCCGUAAACGGUGGGCGCUAGGUGUGAGGGUCUUUUCACGACUUUCGUGCCGUAGCUAACGCAUUAAGCGCCCCGCCUGGGGAGUACGGCCGCAAG
Molecule: ribosomal RNA, 359 nt
Filed under: Chaetoceros curvisetus
Lineage: Eukaryota; Bacillariophyta; Thalassiosirophyceae; Chaetocerotales; Chaetocerotaceae
Description: partial Bacterial small subunit ribosomal RNA
Rfam family: Bacterial small subunit ribosomal RNA
Source: RNAcentral